Long non-coding RNA from Trifolium pratense (red clover), 1511 nucleotides. RefSeq lists it as uncharacterized. The record is from RefSeq and is a predicted model, not a curated record. The transcript is spliced from 4 exons. NCBI's taxonomy places the organism in Eukaryota, Viridiplantae, Streptophyta, Magnoliopsida, Fabales, Fabaceae.
AAAGGGAAACAGGCAGCAAAGCGGAUCACAGGGAUUCCACACGCACUACAGGACGAGGAAAGGAUUGAAGCACAUCACAUACAGCAAGGACGGAAACGGAAGAGAAAUUGAAGAAGCAAAGGAAGGCAACGUGAAGAGCAAAGCAAUCCAUCUUGGGUUUAUUCCUUUUCAUCAUGCUUGUUUCUUUAAAUAUUAUGUCUAGCUAAAUUUUCAUGAUUGGUCCUUAGGGGAUUCUAAUUGUUAUUUUUCUUGAACAAUGUGAUUAUCAUAUGAUAUGAUCAAUGAAUUACGAAGUUAGUUUCUUCAAUUAUUCCUUGUGUUUAAUGCUUUGCAUGACUUGAUCAAUUGUGUAAUGAUUUCAAUUAUUUGUUUUACUAUGACGAUAGGAAUGAAUGAUCGAUCUAGGAAUGAUUGAUCCAUUAACUUUCACUUAAGACAUUUCGGAUUGUUAAUUGAGAUUAAAAGAUUAAAGUUUAUAAACCUCAAUUGAUCAUAGAUUACCUAAGACAUUAGGAAUUGAUGAUCAAGAGAGAGGAUUCACUACUAGAAAAAAAUUGAAUUAAGACGGAAUUUCGGGACGGAAAAAUUUUCUGUCUCAAAAUUAUAUGAUUGGGACGGAAUUUGCGACAUAUUUUCGUCGCAGGUGAUUUUAUAAACAUUAAUUAAUUAUUAUGGGACGGAAUGUAAUUUCAGUCGCUACUUUGGGACAGAAUAUAUUAUUCCGUCACCAAUUUGUGGAAAUGGUUCCAUCAUUGAGAGAAAUUCUUUUAAUUUCACACGUUAUUUUCUUUACCCUCAAAUGAGAGAAACAAAAAACUCAAACCUCUUUCUAUGCUCUCUCGUCGGCCAGACCUUUUCGAUCCAGAUCCCGCCACCACUCAACCAGAUCGGAGAUAAAGACACACUUUUCGAGCUCCCCAUAUCGAGAUCUAUUUUUUGAGAGGACCAACUAUGUCGUCUGCCUCUCCACUGUUGUGAAAUAGUUUUGGUGGAACCACUAUGUUGGAACUCUACAGCCGCCCUGGUACGAUCUACUUCAAAGGGAUCAAUCCUCAAGUUACUGAAAUGAUGCAAAGAAGGGCCAUUGACAUCUAACUAGUUGACUAUUUCUAUGGUGCAAAAGAAGGGCCAUUGACACAACUUGAGAACAUAAUAUGAACAAUAGAUAAUAUGUGAGGAAAAUUUUCUUAAGCUAUGUUCACAACUUAAGUCUCUACCUCAACAUUAUGAGUUUGGUGAUGAAUGGAGUACUUUCUCAAGCCUAUUGAUUAUGAUGCAUUGCAUAAGGAUUGGAAACAUGUGUUCAUGCCUCCAAGAUAAUAGUGAUGACUUUGUACUUACAAUCUACAAAAUUAUUAUAAGUUUUAGUCUUUUGAAUGUAUUUUUAGAAUUUGGAUUAUGUAUAUGUUUAUAAUUGUAUCAGACAAAUAUGUAAUUGUUUAUUAGUUGAAUAAAAAUUGAUGAUCAUUACAUUAUGAAUUUAUAUUAUUGAUUAGUAAUUACUUUUAUCA